This 60-nucleotide non-coding RNA is filed under the name unclassified sequences. Its description in RNAcentral is "Transposase-1 RNA". It matches the Rfam family "Transposase-1 RNA". From Rfam's summary of the family: Lactobacillales (Firmicutes). The record is from Rfam by way of RNAcentral.
CAUUAAGAGGCUAUCUCUGUCGUUACCCACUACAUGUGGAUACGGGAAUAUAGCUGUUAA